AAAAAAAAAAAAAAAAAAAAAAAAUCUAAAAAUAUAUUUUUUACUUUUUACUCGGUAAGAAUCCAGUGAACAGACUGUGAUUCGUUUUGUAGUAUAUAAUUGCUUGAUUCCACUUGUUUCACUUGUUUUGUACUAUUCUUCUUUAGUUCUUGUUGUUUGUUACUUCUAAUUCAUACCACCCAUUACAAAAACUCUCAAUUGAGUCCAUCUUGUAAUUUGGAUUGAAGGGUAGAAUUUUACACUCACAGAUUGCGUUAAUUGUUUCUUUCACAACUUAUUCUAGAUCUGAGAAGCAAGGUGGACUCUUGGUGGUACUAAUCACCUCUUCUUAAUAAAUAGAUAAAGUUGCUACAUUAGAUCUAGUCAUUAUUGCUAAGAUUCAUAUUACAAGUAAGUUCUUUUUCUUUAAUUGAUUUCUUUCAAUGAUUAUUAAAUUCAAUUUAUAAAAAAAGAU
This 454-nucleotide long non-coding RNA is filed under the name Physcomitrium patens. RNAcentral describes it as "long non-coding RNA (PPAT_LNC004039)". The record is from RNAcentral. Lineage: Eukaryota; Viridiplantae; Streptophyta; Bryopsida; Funariales; Funariaceae.